UGGGGAAUAUUGCACAAUGGGCGCAAGCCUGAUGCAGCAACGCCGCGUGAGGGAUGACGGCCUUCGGGUUGUAAACCUCUUUUAGCAGGGAAGAAGCGAAAGUGACGGUACCUGCAGAAAAAGCACCGGCUAACUACGUGCCAGCAGCCGCGGUAAUACGUAGGGUGCAAGCGUUGUCCGGAAUUAUUGGGCGUAAAGAGCUCGUAGGCGGUCUGUCGCGUCUGCUGUGAAAUCCCGAGGCUCAACCUCGGGCCUGCAGUGGGUACGGGCAGACUAGAGUGCGGUAGGGGAGAAUGGAACUCCUGGUGUAGCGGUGGAAUGCGCAGAUAUCAGGAAGAACACCGAUGGCGAAGGCAGUUCUCUGGGCCGUAACUGACGCUGAGGAGCGAAAGCGUGGGGAGCGAACAGGAUUAGAUACCCUGGUAGUCCACGCCGUAAACGUUGGGCGCUAGAUGUGGGGACCAUUCCACGGUUUCCGUGUCGCAGCUAACGCAUUAAGCGCCCGCCUGGGGAGUACGGCCGCAAGGCUAAAACUCAAAUGAAUUGACGGGGUC
RNAcentral lists this ribosomal RNA (554 nucleotides) under uncultured bacterium. RNAcentral's name for it is "partial 16S ribosomal RNA". It matches the Rfam family "Bacterial small subunit ribosomal RNA", at positions 355 to 920 of the family's 1533-position model. The record is from RNAcentral.